AUACUGACAUAAGAAAAUCUACAGAAUUUUUUCAACCCACGGAUACCCGUUUUCCAAUUACCAAGCCCAAAUUCUGACCCAAACUUUAUUCUCCUUUCUUAUUCAAAACUCACAAACCCAAAGAGAGCAACCCUCUAUUCCUCCACUUGCGGACUGUCCUCCAUCCACCUAGAAGCAUCGCGUUCUCCUCCAGCCGGGCAAGAUCGUCGCCUGCGAGAGUUAAAGGGAGAAAAACAAACCCUAGUCAUUUUUCUUUUUGUUUUAUUUUUUUCUUCUCUUAGAAAAUCACAGACCCUAAGAUGUUGGGAGGGAUGUGCAGCGUGAGUAAGAGAAUGGAAUUGGAGGAGAUGCUAACUUGUUCAUGAGGGUGAGAGAGGACGAAUCCCAAAGGAUUUUGAAGUGAAACUUUGGGGGUUUUAUGGUUUUUGGGAAGAAGAAAGACAACAUCUUUGAGAGCGAGAGAGAUUUCUUGUGUUUUUGAGAAAACAUGGGGGAAAAUCUAAUUAUUAAGAAAGUGAGGAAGACCAAGGAGAAAGAACGGGGCAACUCCUUAGGGUUUGACGGCAGCCUGCGGAUUAGGCAUGGGGACAACUUUUUUUCUUUAUUUUGAUACGAAGAGAAAACCCUAGAAAGGGAUUUGCGCUUUAGCCUAUUUUUACAAAAAAUUAAACAAUGAAAAAAAAAGUAAUGGAAUAAAAUUGUAAUUUCAUUAUUCAAACGAGUAAUGGGUAUCUACGAGUACGAAUAUU
This 749-nucleotide long non-coding RNA is filed under the name Vigna radiata. RNAcentral's name for it is "long non-coding RNA (VRAD_LNC001334)". Lineage: Eukaryota; Viridiplantae; Streptophyta; Magnoliopsida; Fabales; Fabaceae. The record is from RNAcentral.